AUGAGCGCAAAGAUCCCAGAAGUCAAGAGAGUGACGCAGGGCCUGUCCAAUCACCGCCGUUGGCUGGGGGUAGGCGUGACUGUCUUGUACAUUGGUGAAGUUACCGCCCUCAUCGUGAGUGAAGCGACACUAGGCCAAUCACCACGGAUUUACCGGUCUCAGCUGAGCGUCGAAGCUUUUGUCCAAUCGGCGCCGAGAUUUCGGCAGGAGGCGGGAGGGAUACGGCUCUCGUCCAAUCACAAUUUUAAUUCCAAGACUUUACUGAAUUACGGCGGGAGGUGA
Molecule: long non-coding RNA, 282 nt
Filed under: Lepisosteus oculatus (spotted gar)
Lineage: Eukaryota; Metazoa; Chordata; Actinopteri; Semionotiformes; Lepisosteidae
Description: lncRNA (ENSLOCG00000022153.1)
Source: RNAcentral